UCUUAUCAAGAGUGGCGGAGGGACUGGCCCUUUGAUGCCACAGCAACCUACUAAACCUAAUGGUAUAAACCAAGGUUUUGACUUAUACCAUUCGGUUCUGGCAAGGUGCUAAUUCCUGCGGAUAUUUCCGAAUGAUGAG
RNAcentral lists this non-coding RNA (139 nucleotides) under uncultured Eubacterium sp. RNAcentral's name for it is "SAM riboswitch (S box leader)". It matches the Rfam family "SAM riboswitch aptamer (S box leader)". From Rfam's summary of the family: The SAM riboswitch is found upstream of a number of genes which code for proteins involved in methionine or cysteine biosynthesis in Gram-positive bacteria. The SAM riboswitch acts at the level of transcription termination control. Lineage: Bacteria; Bacillati; Bacillota; Clostridia; Eubacteriales; Eubacteriaceae. The record is from RNAcentral.